Long non-coding RNA from Neofelis nebulosa (Clouded leopard), 659 nucleotides. RefSeq lists it as uncharacterized. Lineage: Eukaryota; Metazoa; Chordata; Mammalia; Carnivora; Felidae. The record is from RefSeq and is a predicted model, not a curated record. The transcript is spliced from 2 exons.
ACAUGUAACUUCCUUCACAGAUUUGCUGCUACUGGUUGAGGUCAUGCACAAAGUCCUGGUGUAGUGCUUGGAAGCUAGCAAACUUGUGCUCAGUCCCCUGUUCCUUACUGUUGGGCUAAGACAUGUCACACUGGCGAUCACCUUCUCGUCUUGUUGCUAUGAAAGCAAGAACCUGGGAAGCAUCCAGACGCCCAGCGGAGGAUGAUGAAAUGCCAUGGAGGACCUGUCCCAGGCAUGGGCUGGAGCGUCUCUGUUUCUGAGCUGAUCUUUAAGUGUGGACUACAGGUGUGGGGUUUGCUGGAGUCCAGGUUCACAUCUGCCCACCACUGUCCAGAUGCUCCUAUGUAAGGAACGCUCCUGCCCCUGAUCUUUGUGGUACACCCCAGCUUCCUCCUUCUAUGCCUGGCUUCAGGGCCCCUGAUCUCCACUUACUGCUUGUUCAUUAAGCUGGUGAUCUGUUAUGCGUGCUGAUGGCCACUAAGAGGCCAGUCUGACUCCUUAGCAGUGAAGUGUCCCAGUCUUACUGUUUCUGGGAACCAUGUCCACUGUGAAGGAGAUCUGCAGGGAAGCCUGGAUUCCUGUUCUGUCACCUCAGGACUGGUAGCUCUUAACACAGUGAUGGCAUCCAGUUGGUACAUAAUAAAUGGCACUUGAACUAA